CCUAUGACAUGAAAGCUUUGCGGGGAGAGAUUCCUCGUCCGUAUGUGGAUUGUGUAAUGGCUAUAAGUAUGUAAAGAUGAUGAGCCAUAGCAUGUGAAGCUGGAGUUUUCACAGAGGAAAUUGCUUUUUCUGUAGCCACUUCUCUUGAGUGCUUUGUCAAAGAAUGAAACAGUGUGUUAUAUGGACUGGACCACAUGAAGGAUAUAGGUUAGCGUCUAAAUCCUUUCUUCUCCAUAUAUUAAGGUACAGUUAAAAAGAUUUUGAAGUACCAGGUAAAUUUCUUAGA
Arabidopsis thaliana (thale cress) is the source of this 286-nucleotide long non-coding RNA. RefSeq annotates it as other RNA. Lineage: Eukaryota; Viridiplantae; Streptophyta; Magnoliopsida; Brassicales; Brassicaceae. The transcript has a single exon. The record is from RefSeq.